RNAcentral lists this ribosomal RNA (577 nucleotides) under uncultured bacterium. RNAcentral's name for it is "bacterial SSU rRNA". It matches the Rfam family "Bacterial small subunit ribosomal RNA", at positions 338 to 916 of the family's 1533-position model. The record is from RNAcentral.
CCUACGGGAGGCAGCAGUAGGGAAUAUUGGACAAUGGGUGCGAGCCUGAUCCAGCCAUGCCGCGUGCAGGAAGAAGGCCUUCUGGGUUGUAAACUGCUUUUGCCGGGGGAUAAAAGACCCAUGCGUGGGGAAUUGAAGGUACCCGGUGAAUAAGCCACGGCUAACUACGUGCCAGCAGCCGCGGUAAUACGUAGGUGGCGAGCGUUGUCCGGAUUUAUUGGGUUUAAAGGGUGCGUAGGCGGCCCCGUAAGUCAGUGGUGAAAUACGGCAGCUCAACUGUCGAGGUGCCAUUGAUACUGCGGGGCUUGAGUACAGUCGAGGUAGGCGGAAUUGACGGUGUAGCGGUGAAAUGCUUAGAUAUCGUCAAGAACACCGAUAGCGAAGGCAGCUUGCUAGGCUGUAACUGACGCUGAGGCACGAAAGUGCGGGGAUCAAACAGGAUUAGAUACCCUGGUAGUCCGCACAGUAAACGAUGGUCACUCGGUGUUGGCGGUACACGGCCAGCGCCUUAGCGAAAGCGUUAAGUGACCCACCUGGGGAGUACGCCCGCAAGGGUGAACGUCAAAUGAAUUGACGG